Molecule: transfer RNA, 81 nt
Filed under: Cutaneotrichosporon mucoides
Lineage: Eukaryota; Fungi; Basidiomycota; Tremellomycetes; Trichosporonales; Trichosporonaceae
Description: tRNA-Ser
Rfam family: tRNA
About the family: Transfer RNA (tRNA) molecules are approximately 80 nucleotides in length. Their secondary structure includes four short double-helical elements and three loops (D, anti-codon, and T loops).
Source: RNAcentral
GGAAAGGCAAGCUAUUGGUGAGGCGUUUCAGUUGCUAUCUGGGAGAAGAAAUUCUUAUAGGUUCAAUUCCUAUCCUUUCCG